This 1401-nucleotide ribosomal RNA is filed under the name uncultured bacterium. Its description in RNAcentral is "bacterial SSU rRNA". It matches the Rfam family "Bacterial small subunit ribosomal RNA". The record is from RNAcentral.
AGAGUUUGAUCCUGGCUCAGGAUGAACGCUAGCGACAGGCUUAACACAUGCAAGUCGAGGGGCAGCGGGGUAGUGCUUGCACUACUGCCGGCGACCGGCGCACGGGUGAGUAACACGUAUGGAACCUGCCCGCAGCAGGGGGAUAAGCGGAAGAAAUUCCGUCUAAUACCGCGUAAGAACGUUGGGAGGCAUCUCCCGAUGUUUAAAGAUUUAUCGGCUGCGGAUGGCCAUGCGGCGCAUUAGCUAGUCGGCGGGGUAACGGCCCACCGAGGCGACGAUGCGUAGGGGUUCUGAGAGGAAGGUCCCCCACACUGGUACUGAGACACGGACCAGACUCCUACGGGAGGCAGCAGUGAGGAAUAUUGGUCAAUGGCCGAGAGGCUGAACCAGCCAAGUCGCGUGAGGGAAGACGGCCCUACGGGUUGUAAACCUCUUUUGUCGGGGAGCAAAGCGAACCACGUGUGGUUCAUUGAGAGUACCCGAAGAAAAAGCAUCGGCUAACUCCGUGCCAGCAGCCGAGGUAAUACGGAGGAUGCGAGCGUUAUCCGGAUUUAUUGGGUUUAAAGGGUGCGCAGGCGGAGGUGCAAGUCAGCGGUCAAAUUGCGGGGCUCAACCCCGUACUGCCGUUGAAACUGCAUCCCUUGAGUGCGCGAGAAGUAUGCGGAAUGCGUGGUGUAGCGGUGAAAUGCAUAGAUAUCACGCAGAACUCCGAUUGCGAAGGCAGCAUACCGGCGCGCAACUGACGCUCAUGCACGAAAGCGUGGGUAUCGAACAGGAUUAGAUACCCUGGUAGUCCACGCAGUAAACGAUGAACACUAACUGUUCGGCCAGAAUGAUGGCUGAGUGGUACAGCGAAAGCGUUAAGUGUUCCACCUGGGGAGUACGCCGGCAACGGUGAAACUCAAAGGAAUUGACGGGGGCCCGCACAAGCGGAGGAACACGUGGUUUAAUUCGAUGAUACGCGAGGAACCUUACCCGGGCUCAAACGACACAGGAAUACUUUUGAAAGGAGGUAGCCCUACGGGGUCUGUGUCGAGGUGCUGCAUGGUUGUCGUCAGCUCGUGCCGUGAGGUGUCGGCUUAAGUGCCAUAACGAGCGCAACCCCUAUCGCCAGUUACCAUCAAGUAAAGUUGGGGACUCUGGCGAGACUGCCGGCGCAAGCUGAGAGGAAGGCGGGGAUGACGUCAAAUCAGCACGGCCCUUACGUCCGGGGCGACACACGUGUUACAAUGGCAGGUACAGAGAGAAGCCAGGUGGUGACACCGAGCGGAACUCGAAAGCCUGUCUCAGUUCGGAUCGGAGUCUGCAACCCGACUCCGUGAAGCUGGAUUCGCUAGUAAUCGCGCAUCAGCCAUGGCGCGGUGAAUACGUUCCCGGGCCUUGCACACACCGCCCGUCAAG